CUGCGGAUGGAUCAUUUUUUAUCUAUUAAGAUUAUUAAUCAUUGAUAGGUGGUUGUUUAAACAUAUUAUAAUUAAAAGUUGAUCGUAUGAUUGAUUGAUAAUUAUAGUUUAGUACUUCCCUUAUCAUGAUGUACUUUUUCAAUAAAUUGAUGAGUGAUAAUCGAUUAGGAUAUAAAAUGUCGAGUGUAAAAACUUGAAUCCAUCUGCAUUAACAAUAUAAAAACUGUUCACUUGUUACAACUGAUCUAACUCUAUAUUAAUUUAAUCUCUAAUUUUUCUAGUAUGACAAACAAAACAUUUAAAAUAUGCUUUAUUUUAAAAAAAUUAAGCAUAAACGGUGAAUACCUCGACUCCUAAAUCGAUGAAGACCGUAGCAAACUGCGAUAAUUCACUUGAAUUGCAGCCUACUGGGAUAGUUGAAAUGUUGAACGCACAUGAUAGCAUUGGUCCUUUCGGAUUAAGUGCUAUACUUGGGUGAGAGUGGCUUUAAAACCAAUCAUUCUAACUGAAUACUUCGGUAAACAUAGGAAUGAUUUGUAUAGUUAUUACUCUAGGCUAAAUUGGAUUUAUUCAAUUUAGAACCUAUUGAAUUUCUAUACAUUUUUUUGGUACUCCAUCGGCACAUUUACAGUUCAUACUAUUAAUAUAAUCAUUAACUCAUAGUUAAUUAUUUUAUAGUUUAACGCAUAGGUUCCUGACCUUCAAACUAACUUGAUUCAUCAUUUAGUAAGAUAACCUGGAAACUGUUUUUCUAUUAGUAAUUAAUGCUUGACGUGUUAUUUGUAUGAUAUUAAUAAUAUGAGUUAAAACUGUAUAGUUGUUCAUAUUAGCAGGAAAGACCUCGGUCAUUCUAUUAAGACUAAUAUUGAUCCGUGACUUUUUUA
RNAcentral lists this unclassified non-coding RNA (884 nucleotides) under Dictyostelium purpureum. Its description in RNAcentral is "partial contains 18S rRNA, ITS1, 5.8S rRNA, ITS2 and 26S rRNA". The stretch from base 327 to 484 matches the Rfam family "5.8S ribosomal RNA". Lineage: Eukaryota; Evosea; Eumycetozoa; Dictyosteliales; Dictyosteliaceae. The record is from RNAcentral.